UUAGAGUUUGGAUCUGGCUCAGGAUGAACGCUGGCGGCGUGCCUAAUACAUGCAAGUCGAGCGAAUGGAUUAAGAGCUUGCUCUUAUGAAGUUAGCGGCGGACGGGUGAGUAACACGUGGGUAACCUGCCCAUAAGACUGGGAUAACUCCGGGAAACCGGGGCUAAUACCGGAUAACAUUUUGAACCGCAUGGUUCGAAAUUGAAAGGCGGCUUCGGCUGUCACUUAUGGAUGGACCCGCGUCGCAUUAGCUAGUUGGUGAGGUAACGGCUCACCAAGGCAACGAUGCGUAGCCGACCUGAGAGGGUGAUCGGCCACACUGGGACUGAGACACGGCCCAGACUCCUACGGGAGGCAGCAGUAGGGAAUCUUCCGCAAUGGACGAAAGUCUGACGGAGCAACGCCGCGUGAGUGAUGAAGGCUUUCGGGUCGUAAAACUCUGUUGUUAGGGAAGAACAAGUGCUAGUUGAAUAAGCUGGCACCUUGACGGUACCUAACCAGAAAGCCACGGCUAACUACGUGCCAGCAGCCGCGGUAAUACGUAGGUGGCAAGCGUUAUCCGGAAUUAUUGGGCGUAAAGCGCGCGCAGGUGGUUUCUUAAGUCUGAUGUGAAAGCCCACGGCUCAACCGUGGAGGGUCAUUGGAAACUGGGAGACUUGAGUGCAGAAGAGGAAAGUGGAAUUCCAUGUGUAGCGGUGAAAUGCGUAGAGAUAUGGAGGAACACCAGUGGCGAAGGCGACUUUCUGGUCUGUAACUGAC
RNAcentral lists this ribosomal RNA (758 nucleotides) under Bacillus cereus. RNAcentral's name for it is "bacterial SSU rRNA". It matches the Rfam family "Bacterial small subunit ribosomal RNA", at positions 1 to 744 of the family's 1533-position model. Lineage: Bacteria; Bacillati; Bacillota; Bacilli; Caryophanales; Bacillaceae. The record is from RNAcentral.